Molecule: ribosomal RNA, 269 nt
Filed under: uncultured prokaryote
Description: partial 16S ribosomal RNA
Rfam family: Bacterial small subunit ribosomal RNA
Source: RNAcentral
UACGUAGGGUGCGAGCGUUGUCCGGAAUUACUGGGCGUAAAGAGCUCGUAGGCGGUUUGUCACGUCGUCUGUGAAAUCCUCCAGCUUAACUGGGGGCGUGCAGGCGAUACGGGCAGACUUGAGUACUACAGGGGAGACUGGAAUUCCUGGUGUAGCGGUGAAAUGCGCAGAUAUCAGGAGGAACACCGGUGGCGAAGGCGGGUCUCUGGGUAGUAACUGACGCUGAGGAGCGAAAGCAUGGGUAGCGAACAGGAUUAGAUACCCUGGUA